GCUUAAUACAUGCAAGUCGAACGGGAAAGUUGGCAGAGAGGGAUGAGGGCGCUGGAUGGGACGAUCUGUGUCGACCAUCCCUUUCGUACAGUGAAAGAGGCGCGAAAACGGUAUAAACACUUAAUGUUAAAGAUUAAAUGCCAUAAAAGACGUGAGUAUAU
This 161-nucleotide ribosomal RNA is filed under the name uncultured bacterium. RNAcentral's name for it is "partial 16S ribosomal RNA". The record is from RNAcentral.